GACGAACGUUGGCGGCGUGCUUAAUACAUGCAAGUCAACUGAAGCAGUGGUUGCAAUAUCGCUGUGGAGGUUGCGUAAGGGUGAGUAACACGUAGGUAAUCUGCCUUCAGGUCUGGCAUAACUCAGGGAAACCGGGGCUCAUAGCAGAUGAUGCAGCGGCACGACAUCGAGACAGUUGUUAAAGCUAUGGCGCCUGAAGAUGAGCCUGCGUCUGAUUAGCUAGUUGGCGGGGUCACGGCCCAACAAGGCAACGAUCAGUAGCUGGUCUGAGAGGAUGAUCAGCCACAGUGGAACGGAGACACGGCCCAGACUCCUACGGGAGGCAGCCGUAAGGAGGAUGGCGCAAUGGGGGAAAUCCGGAAGCAGCAACGCCGCGUGAGGGACGAAGGGCUGUUGCUUGUAAACCUCUUUAGGGAGAGAAAAAAAUCCCAAUCUGUGGGACAUGAUGGUAUCUCAAAAGUAAGCCCCGGCUAACUACGUG
Molecule: ribosomal RNA, 481 nt
Filed under: uncultured bacterium
Lineage: Bacteria
Description: partial 16S ribosomal RNA
Rfam family: Bacterial small subunit ribosomal RNA
Source: RNAcentral